This 446-nucleotide ribosomal RNA is filed under the name uncultured bacterium. RNAcentral's name for it is "bacterial SSU rRNA". It matches the Rfam family "Bacterial small subunit ribosomal RNA", at positions 355 to 796 of the family's 1533-position model. The record is from RNAcentral.
UCGAGGAUCUUCGGCAAUGGGCGCAAGCCUGACCGAGCGACGCCGCGUGCGGGAUGAAGGCCUUCGGGUUGUAAACCGCCGUCGGGAUGGAGGAAAUUCCAUAGGGUUCUCUCUAUGGAUUGACCUAUAUUCAGAGGAAGGACGGGCUAAGUUCGUGCCAGCAGCCGCGGUAAGACGAACCGUCCAAACGUUAUUCGGAUUCACUGGGCUUAAAGGGUGCGUAGGCGGCUCAGAAAGUAGGGUGUGAAAGCCCUCGGCUCAACCGAGGAAUUGCGCUCUAAACUACUGGGCUUGAGGAACGCAGAGGUAAGCGGAACUUACGGUGGAGCGGUGAAAUGCGUUGAUAUCGUAAGGAACACCAGGAGCGAAAGCGGCUUACUGGGCGUUUUCUGACGCUGAUGCACGAAAGCUAGGGGAGCGAACGGGAUUAGAUACCCCCGUAGUCC